GUACACACCGCCCGUCGCUACUACCGAUUGAAUGGCUUAGUGAGGCUUUCGGAUUGGGGGCUGGCCGCAAGGCUGCGCCUCUGAGAAGCUGGACAAACUUGGUCAUUUAGAGGAAGUAAAAGUCGUAACAAGGUUUCCGUAGGUAACCUGCAGAAGGAUCA
This 161-nucleotide ribosomal RNA is filed under the name uncultured eukaryote. RNAcentral describes it as "partial small subunit ribosomal RNA". It matches the Rfam family "Eukaryotic small subunit ribosomal RNA", at positions 1662 to 1828 of the family's 1831-position model. The record is from RNAcentral.